RNAcentral lists this ribosomal RNA (232 nucleotides) under uncultured bacterium. RNAcentral's name for it is "partial 16S ribosomal RNA". It matches the Rfam family "Bacterial small subunit ribosomal RNA", at positions 15 to 239 of the family's 1533-position model. The record is from RNAcentral.
GAUCCUGGCUCAGGAUGAACGCUAGCGGGAGGCCUAACACAUGCAAGCCGAGCGGGAUUUGUUGGUUAGCUUGCUAACUAACGAUGAGAGCGGCGUACGGGUGCGGAACAUGUGUGCAAUCUGCCCUUAUCAAGGGGAUAGCCCGGAGAAAUCCGGAUUAAUACCCUAUAACAUAUGGGAUGGCAUCAUUUCAUAUUAAAAGCUACGGCGGAUAAGGAUGAGCACGCACAAG